GGGGUGCUCGAGUGGCGAACGGGUGAGUAACACGUGGGUGAUCUGCCCUGCACUUCGGGAUAAGCCUGGGAAACUGGGUCUAAUACCGGAUAGGAGCCAUUUUUAGUGUGACGGUUGGAAAGUUUUUCGGUGUAGGAUGAGCUCGCGGCCUAUCAGCUUGUUGGUGGGGUAAUGGCCUACCAAGGCGGCGACGGGUAGCCGGCCUGAGAGGGUGGACGGCCACAUUGGGACUGAGAUACGGCCCAG
This 246-nucleotide ribosomal RNA is filed under the name uncultured Actinomycetales bacterium. RNAcentral's name for it is "partial 16S ribosomal RNA". It matches the Rfam family "Bacterial small subunit ribosomal RNA", at positions 84 to 334 of the family's 1533-position model. Lineage: Bacteria; Bacillati; Actinomycetota; Actinomycetes; Actinomycetales. The record is from RNAcentral.